AGAGCGCGUGCGGCCGCCGAGCACAUGGACCCGCUGGUCAAGCGGGUUGUACAAGGCCAGAAUGAAGAGAAGCUGCGAGUCAGUAUGGAACUCAGAGGUCCCCGAGUGGAUAUCCACGUGGAAAGGAUGUUGGCAGCCCGGGUGACCUCGGAGUCACGGCUGGAUCCACCCUCCCGCCUGAUUUUCUUAACUCCACCCUGCUGAGAAGAUGCCCUCCAGGAGGCUGUGCUUGCAGACUCCACGGAGCCUCUCUCAAGAUUUCCUGAACCUUGUGGAUUUACAGUAAGACGAAGUUCCCUGGGGAGUAAUUCUGGUGGAUGCAAAUUCUGGAGUAAUACACCUGGCCUGCCUAGAGAUGUUACAAGUGGCCUAAUGGAUUUUUCUAGCCUGGACGCCCACUGGGGACAAGGAUCAUUACUGACAGGAUUGUAUCUCUACCCUUGACUCCAUGGGAAUAUUUGGUCUGCUCUCUCGGGCUCCCUCUAAAAUCAUAUCCUUUAAGCAUUCCAGAAGGAUUUUGAGAACCAUCCUUUCCUAAAUCAAAGCUAGAAUAUUUGGAGAUUUGGAAAAUUGAGGUGAGAAGCAUUGAUUUAAGAGAUGCCAAGUAACUCAGCGGAUGUCACACAGAUGAUAAAGAGCAAGGAUAGACCUCUUCAUUUCAUGUUUGAGGCAAUUCUCUAAGACAGCUGAUUUCUCCAGAGCUGGUAGGAGACAGACUUGCUCACGUGAUAGAUCCGGCCAUGAUAUUGUCCCUAAGAGAACGAGAUGCUCUUUGCAGAAGACAUAGAAGAUUCCUGAAACUGGGAAAGGGGCCUAGAAACCUGGAGAAGAGUGAAGAAGGCAUUUUCCCUCCCCUGCUUAGGCAUCUGCCACCAUAUUCAAUACUUUCUCCAGGGUUCUCAGGUUUCCCAUUGGCUUGGAAUUUGUCAAUUAGUUUUGCUGGCUGGACAGAAAGCCACACGGAUCCUCUUGUCUUGGUCUCCUGACAUUUGGAUUAAAGUCACCUGGAGGUGCAGGCCAUCGCUAUGUUAAACCUAUGAGGUGAUGAUAAACCACACAACUGGAAACCAGAAUGGAAGAACAGAAGCUGGAUCCUUGACAGAAUUAUUGAUGGGAUAGUCCAUCAUCUGGGGCUAAGACCACCUCCAGAUUUCUUGUUUGGUGAAAAUUCCUGAUUGUUUACAUUUGUUUAUUUUGAGCAGUCUCUUACUUGUAGCUAAAAGCAUUUCUAAUAGAUAUUCAAAUUAUCUGCACAGCAAGGGGCAGCCAGAGCUCCAGGGGUUCCAACCUAAAAUAAUCUAUGGAACCGCAGAUAAGUGUCUUAGCUUCUUCAUGAAUUCCUUUGCUCAUCUGUGUAAUGCUCAAUAAAUGUAAAUUGAACCCUGAAUGAGGGACAGUGGCACUAUUGAAGUCAUGAUUGUCAAUCUUAUUAACUGACUAAAUAUUUACAAAAAGGUUGGAACAUUGCCGGACUCACAGUAAGCGGAUGUGGAAGGUGUUGGCAAAUGGACUGAGAAGAAAAGCAGCCAUGUUUGUAGGCUUUCUUUUGCUUCUUGAUCCAUCCUCAAGCCUCUGUGGUCUUUAAGCAGAACCUUGACCCCUUCACUACUGGGGCCCAUGGAGCAUGAAAUGCCCCCCCAAACUGUCUCAAAACACCCACACUAGUAGUUUCUUUUUGACACAAAAGACCUCUUAGUGAAUGCUGGCUUGUGAAAAAGAAGGGGUUGCUACCACCAAAUCAUGUCAGUAGAUGACCAAAAUACCCAAAGCAACUCAUGCAAAUAGAUUCAAGUCUCUCUGGACAAGGCUUCUGGAAGGCUCUAGAAUUUUUGAAGCUCAUUUUUGUAAGGGUCUUUCCAUCUGGUGGCCUUUUCUUUUGCAUCUCCUCUCCUCUUUCUCAUCAGAGGUAGAGGGAUGGGAGGAAGAGUAGUGCUUGGGCUCUCUGCCCUUUCUGUGUAGCGAGGAACCAGACUGCUGAGCAUGUGUGAAGCAGCAGGUGUGAUUUGGGAUGUUACUUUCUGUUACACCAAAUGGCCAGGCUCCAGAGAGGUCACUAGAAAUCGACCAGCGAGUAGGCAUUAUUUCAAAAUAGUUCUUGAUCAUGGGAUUAAAGAACCAACUAGUAUGUGUGCCCAUUUAAAAAAAAAAUUCUGCCAAAGAAUCCUACCUCACAUUUGGAAAGUUCCUGUUGAAUGUGGGCCCUUCCGAUUCACUUAUCCUUUCUUUCAGAAACACCCAAGGAAAGGAGGCCUUGCCUUUGAACCACUCUCCUACCCAACCUUCCUGCUUCUGUCUGACCUACCUUCCUUCUUCAGCAGCUAGGAUCCUUUAAAAGUGAGCACCAAAUGAUGGGGAUUCUUCAGCCACAAGUGUCCUCUGAAAUUCUAUCUUACUUAGAGUAAAAUCUCUAGAUUCAUACAGUGUUCUGUGUGUGGGUGGUGGCUUAUUUUUUCCUGCCAAUUUCUUGCUUGUUCACACUACUCUCCGCCUGGCUUUCUUAUGUCACAGAUUCCCUGAGUACACUCUGGCCUCAGUCUUUCCAUGAAGCAACUCCCUUUUCUAGAAAAUUCUUUCCCGCAUAACUCUCUGCUCUGUCCUCAUUAUAUUCUGAUCAGUAUUUGGAUGUCAAUUUCCAGUCAGGCCUUCUGUGCCCAACCUCUAAAGUGUGCUCUCCUUCUUUGCUGUCCCUAAGUCAUUUUGUUGUAGACUAAAUGUUAGCAUUUUUUCACCAGGAUAUAAACCUAGUGAUAAAGGAGCCAUUAUUCCACUGUCAUACUGGUUACAGAAUCCCGACUAUUCUGCAUUGGGUGCUUUACCAAGUUAUAAAGCUCAAUAAAAUAUUUUGACAAAGUUUUAAA
This 2858-nucleotide long non-coding RNA is filed under the name Rattus norvegicus (Norway rat). Its description in RNAcentral is "Pvt1 oncogene, transcript variant 1 (Pvt1)". The stretch from base 17 to 175 matches the Rfam family "Pvt1 oncogene conserved region 1". The record is from RNAcentral. Lineage: Eukaryota; Metazoa; Chordata; Mammalia; Rodentia; Muridae.